GCGAUUACAGCUCAGAAGCAUAUAUUUUAAAAUUGGUACAACACAGAAAUUAGCAUGGUCCCUGUGCAAGGAUGGCACACAAAUUUGUGAAGCAUUUCCAUCAAGU
Small nuclear RNA from Chrysemys picta bellii (western painted turtle), 106 nucleotides. Lineage: Eukaryota; Metazoa; Chordata; Testudines; Emydidae. The record is from Ensembl.